UGGAGGCAUGCCCACCAUCGCCUGGACCAGCAGAGGAGGCAGCUGCAGGGCUUACUGAAGAACUGGGAGCGAUGUGAGAAGGGCAUAGAUGUGUCUUUGGAGAAGCUGAGGGCCUUCAAGAGAAAGCUGUCUGUGCCUCUGCCUGACCACCAUGAGGAGCUGCACUCAGAGCAAAUCAGAUGCAAGGUGAGGAGAAUAUGAUACUUUCUCUCUUUCUCGCACACACAUACACACUCUUUUAAAUAUUCUUCAUUUUUCUGUUUUAGCUUAAUGCUUUACUGAAAGUGUUGAUAUGUAGAUUCUCUCCACUCUCCAUCCUACUGGCUGUUUCUCAUCAGUCACAUCCCCCUCUCUCUCUCUGUCUAAACAUUCACACAUCAACAAACUCGGGCAUGUCCUCUCGUUACCUCUUUAAUCUAUCUGCGGGGAUAAACGGACAAACAGACGGAGCAGGAACAAAAAAAAGAAAAAAGAAACAGAAAAAACGCCCUUUUCUAUCAGUCUGCUGUCUGAUUGCGUGACCUUGUGUGCGGUAGUCAGGGUAGCUUUAUUUUCCUUUGACAUGUCAUUUACGAAACUUUUUUUUGUUUUGUUUUGUUGUUUUUUUUAAGUGACCCUUUAUCAAUUUAAAUACUUUUUUAAUUUGACCCAGGCCCUAUCUUUCUUUUUUUUUCUUUUUUCUUUUACUUCAUCUCCACCCAAUAGUGUAUGCAGUCAUGUUUCAUGCAUCACACGUCCUCGGCUGCUCCUCGGGGGAGGAGGUGGAGGAGGAGGAGGACCGUGUGAGUAGCUGCACAUAGAAUCAGCUGAGGAGAAAGGGGGUGGGGAAAGAGAAUGGGAGAGAGAGAGAGAGAGGGUGCGUGCGCAUGAGACAGAGAGAGAGCAUCCCUGUGUGUGUGUGUGUGUGUGUGUGCGUGCUUCCUUUUUGUGUGUGUGUGUGAGUUGCGUAAUGGAGACAUGCUCUGGGUCUGCAAAUGAUUACAGCACAGCAAAACCGUCACAAUGACGGAGGAGGAGAUGCAAGGUUGGAUGCCUCUGUUACCUUAUCUGCUAUUAGCCUUGAAUGUAGCUGUUUUUUGCAUUGAAUAUAAUGCGCUGCUGUUAUUUUGGGGAUUUACAGUAAACCAAUGUCGAAUCAUAGCAUUUGGCACCGCGCCUUCCUCUAACAUUCAUUGUCACUUUGCUGUUUUGCAUUUUCUUAGUGUUUCGGGGGAUGCAGGUGCUGCAGCUCAG
Molecule: long non-coding RNA, 1233 nt
Organism: Astatotilapia calliptera (eastern happy)
Lineage: Eukaryota; Metazoa; Chordata; Actinopteri; Cichliformes; Cichlidae
Source: Ensembl